Molecule: ribosomal RNA, 256 nt
Filed under: Streptomyces sp. ISO136_OTU4111
Lineage: Bacteria; Bacillati; Actinomycetota; Actinomycetes; Kitasatosporales; Streptomycetaceae
Also listed under: 3 other names
Description: partial 16S ribosomal RNA
Rfam family: Bacterial small subunit ribosomal RNA
Source: RNAcentral
ACGAACGCUGGCGGCGUGCUUAACACAUGCAAGUCGAACGAUGAAGCCCUUCGGGGUGGAUUAGUGGCGAACGGGUGAGUAACACGUGGGCAAUCUGCCCUUCACUCUGGGACAAGCCCUGGAAACGGGGUCUAAUACCGGAUACCACUCCUGCCUGCAUGGGUAGGGGUUGAAAGCUCCGGCGGUGAAGGAUGAGCCCGCGGCCUAUCAGCUUGUUGGUGGGGUAAUGGCCCACCAAGGCGACGACGGGUAGCCG